CCCUAUUAUAAUUAAUGUAAUAAAAAUUUUGAGUAGUAUAUGUUCUGGUCAGGAAACUUAAAGAAUUUGGCGGUGUAUAUUCUGAUUAGAGGAAUAUGUUUUUUAAUUGAUAAUUCACAAUUAUCUUACUUAAUUUAAUUUAUUUUGUAUAUCUCCGUCUUAAAAAAAUAUUUAAAAAUAUUUUUUUUGUAUUAUAAUAUAAAAUAAGUCAGGUCAAGAUGCAGAUUAUAAUUAAGUCAAAAUGUAUUACAAUAAAAUUAUUUUCGGAAUAAAUUUGUAAAAAAUUUAAGAAGUUGGAUUUAUAAGUAAUUUUUUUAAUUAUAAUUAUCUGAAUAAUGUUAAUAUAUAUGCACACAUCCC
RNAcentral lists this ribosomal RNA (360 nucleotides) under Ptycta sp. Ptsp.MY.06.17.2008.03. RNAcentral's name for it is "partial 12S ribosomal RNA". Lineage: Eukaryota; Metazoa; Arthropoda; Insecta; Psocodea; Psocidae. The record is from RNAcentral.